Molecule: long non-coding RNA, 2954 nt
Filed under: Equus caballus (horse)
Lineage: Eukaryota; Metazoa; Chordata; Mammalia; Perissodactyla; Equidae
Description: lncRNA (ENSECAG00000053713.1)
Source: RNAcentral
GGAAGACACAGUGAGAAGGUGCCGGCCACAAACCAGGAAAGCUCCGUCACCAGGACCCAACCACGCUGGCAACUUAUCCUGAACUUCCAGCCUCCAGAACUAUCAGCCCUGAGCUAACAUCUGCUGCCAAUCCUCCUCUUUUUGCUGAGGAAGACUGGCUCUGAGCUAACAUCCGUGCCAAUCUUCCUCUACUUUAUAUGUGGGACGCCUACCACAGCAUGGCGGGACAAGUGGUGCCAUGUCCACACCCUGGAUCCCAACCGGCAAACCCCGGGCCGCUGAAGUGGAAUGUUCAAACUUAACCGCUGCACCCUUCUCAUCUUUUUUAAAGAAAGGAAUGAAAAAACUUUACGCUGCCACUCUUGCUAUUGCUCCCACCAAACUUCUUUAAGUUUUUGAAAAUGUCUCAGCGUGCUUUGCCAUGUGUGGCUGAAAGUCGGACGUGCUGUACUGAGAAAAGGAGCCGCGGUAAACAGCCCUUGAUGUGUGGGGUCUUGUGUUAUCACGCCAGCGGUUGGACCUCCAGACUCAGCCUCAGCAGCCCACGGACAUUCCCGUGAAGACUUCCUACCAGAGCACGGCUUCCCUGCCUUCUGCCCGGGGAGCAGAUCUUCACUGUGACUUUCUGGAUUUGCCUGUCUCUGCAGAUUGCAGGAGACAUGAUGAGGAUCAUAUUACAGUUGCAAUAAUGGAAGUAGAGUGAACGACACAAGGCACUUCAAGUCACGUAAGUAAUAAAGUGAUAUGGAAGAUAAUGUUAAUAACGGCUGCUGUUUACUAAGCAUGUGGCGUCAGUGAUGCCAACCGUGCACAGCCACAUGCUGAGAAAGGCUGAGAUUCCCCCGCUUCCUGAAAGCUAACAAGGGAGCCGCUCACAGUCUGAAGUAGUAGAAAUACAAGACUCACGGGUCAGAGACAAAGACUAAGCAAGAGCAGAAACAGAGUACUGGCAUUUGGACUGAUUGCUCCAGUCUCAGUUCCUACGAGGCAAUGAAAAGAGGACCAGCUGAGCUGCACGUCCACGGGAUGACAUCACAGGAGAAGAGUGAAAUGAGUUUAUCAAAAUCAAUUUUUUGAUGCCCAAAGGGAGUCACUGUCUCUGUCUUCAGAGGAUUUUCAUACUUGAAAAGAUAGUUGGGAAUAAAGGGAAACAGUUUCUCACUCAGAAAAUUUGAAGGGAAGAGACUCAUGGAGACUUGCCCCCAACUAUCGCUCCCUUGUUUCUAUCCCAACAUCGCGCCUUCUGAGGAACUUCCCUAUGAACUUACUGUCCUCGUAGACAGCGCUGUCCUCCACCUUUUCCCUCAGCGCACGCCAGUGAGCUCAACGGCCCUGGGCAUGUUGGCCACGACCUCUGAGAUAUCCGCCUCUGAGACAGACAUGCAGCUUGUGAAACACUUUCCUGCAACCACUUCCUGCAACAGAAGCAGGGGCGCAGCCCUCAGAGCAGCGUGCCAGCAGGGCCAGUGGUGGACCUGGCAUUCCUGGGGGAGGAGGCUGGGACUGGACCCCCGGAGGCCCUGCACCCCUGGAGGCCCAGCGGCCAUCUCGUUCCCUGUCCAAAUGGGACACUCAGUACCCUGUGCCUUCAGGCCAGGUGUGUCCCAGCUGGGCUACCGUCUCCCAAAAGAGUCUCAGGAACUCUCCGCAGUAGAACUCGUUUUGCUGCCUGAGCAUCCUCCGCUCUGUGAGAAAGUCCUGCUGGUUCAUCAUCAAAGGGCCACAAAUCUGACGUUUCACACCGCUGUAACCAACGUCUGCCUGCAACUGCCAUGCUCUCACCCCAGGGGCUUAGGGCAGCCACCUCCCUGCCUCUGCCUCUCCCAAAGUCUCCUCUCAGAAAGAAAAGAAUUAUUAUUUCCUAUGUUGCUCAUAAUAAUUAAUCUGAUCAACAAAGAAACUGGGACAAAAUCUGUUAAAUCUGUCUCAUGCAGCGUUAACUGCCCCUUCCACCAACGUGGCCACGGGCAGCAGGGGGAGACCCAGCUGCGCUGUUGACCUGUCAUGGCCCCAGGGUCAUGACCCAAUCACCUGAACAAAGCCUUAAACCCUCAGGGUUUCCUUAGAAAACCCAGUGUCUUCCUAUUUAAUUUCUGUCCUCAUCUUUCCACUUAGCCAGGGCCUUAAUCCAGAUACAGCAGGAUGUGUUCACGUUGGGGAAACACCACCUUGACGCACAAAGAGGUCUAGGCCAGUCCUGUCAUCAAAAACAACCCUGGGCAGAGUGUUGAGGCUGACCUGAAAGUCCUCCACAGCUGAAGUGGUGCCAUUGAUUGCAUCACCUAAAAUCAGGGAGAGUUUAUACCACACAUUCUAAUUGGGUAAUUCUCACAAUAGGGAUCACUUCCCAAAGGGCAUGUAAAUAGAACAAGUCAGCCUUUCUGGAUAGCAAGCUCCUCCUAGUAACCAAGGAUAGCUUCAGUCACCUGAGGGCCAGAGCCAGUAUUGCCUUCAAGUUAUCUGGUCUCUUAUGGUCUUGUAUGGCCAUCCCUAAGGCACCAGCCACCGUGUUCCAGGAGUGAGUCAAGUUAAUGCCUGGCUUCCACAGCCUGUCUGGUCGGUAUACUUUAGGGUUCUCAGUUCAGACCAAAUAAUUAAGUCCAGAAAAUGGAGUGGGCAGGAAAACAAAUAAAUAAAUAGAUACACAAAUCAAUUUCACUUUAGAGUGUCCUUGAUGAAGCAGCAAAGAUUUUAAAUUUCAUUAAACUUUGACCUUUAAUUGUGUCUUUUUAGUACUCUGUAUCAUGAAAUUGACAACACAGACAAAUCACUUCUGCUGCAUGUUAAACCCCAAAGGUUAUCUUGAAGAAAAGUAUUUGUGUGAUUGAAUCGUGAGCUCAAGUAGAUACUUUUUUCAUGAAAUGUCACUUUUUCCUGAAUGAAUGAGUGACAGAACCAUGGUUAUUUAGACUUGGGUAUUUGGCAGAUAUUUUCUUGCAAGUGAAUGAUACGCG